GCCCAGCCCGUCAGGAGUAGGAGCAACAACACCAACUCAUCCACCAGCAAAAAAGCCAUAGCCUACAAUUGACAAAACAAGACACUACCCAUUCCAGACACAGAACAGGUGUUGAUUCCCCUUCUGACUGAAACUAUUUGAUGAAUCAAUGGAUCAACAAGAAAAUGAAAACACAGCUCUUAGCCAAGUCGCGGCUGGAAUCGCGCUUUCGCUGUUGGCUGCUUUUGUCGCCACCGUGUGGUGGUUCGACCGCCAGAAACGAACCAGCGAGAGUCCUACCAGACCGCGCAUGGAAGGGGACCGAUCAGUAUUCAAGGUGCCCCAGAGCCCGCCACCCAAGACACCAAAACCCUCCGUUUUUGAGCCAAUCUCAGAGCCUGAAGUCCAGGAAGCGGUGGGACAAUUUGAAGACACAGAGGAGGCAGAAGAGAACAUGGUUUCCUAGUUUAAAUGUAUUCCUGUUUUAUCUGUCCUGUAUUUUCUACAAAUAUUUUUUGAACUUACAAAAGACAUUGUAUUGUGUUAAUUGUGGAACGCUUUUCUAUUAUUUCUUCCUCUUUACAUUUCCCUGUUACAGAAUCCUUUCAGAAAUAAUCUAGCCAAAGAGAAGUAGAAAACUAGAAGUUGUUGAAGCACCAUUUAAACAAAAUCUUAUUUUGCUUUAGAUAUCAAUAGAUUUUGACCCAGUUAGGCUAUUCAUGACAUUUAGUUGUCAUUAUUUAAAAAUACCUUAUAUUUUUGUAAUUAAUACAACUUAGUGACACAAUAAUAAAGGAAUACCAAUCUAAGUGUUUGGUUCAUCUCAGGGCCGGCCCCAGGGCUUUUAGGGCUGUUUUCUUUGUAUUGAUGACAUUUCCAUUUUCUCUCCAUCCCCUGCUGAGCAAGAGUAACAUGUAUGCCAUGUUCUCCAGCGCCAUCAGGAGAAUGAGCUUUAAGUAAAGGUUUGGAAGUGGGAAUUACACCCCAAGUCCCCUCGGUGUCCUGUCUAGGGUACAACAUACGGGCCAAGGGCAGGUGAAGAUGACCUCGCAAAGGUAGCUCCUCUGGCAGAAUUGCCCGGCCCGCCGAAUCUCCAUCAGGACAAACCCACGGGUAGCCCCGGUCUGUCCUCCAGCAGGGGGACAGGUUAAUCAACCGACUAGCGUGCCCGACUCUUCCUGGUCGUGUCUUGGGCCAAGCUAGGGUAGGAUUACAAAGUUCUGAAAACCAAACGCCUGGGGUCACGUACCAAACAACAAGGGUAGGAACUUCCCGAGACCCCGUAAAAAGGGGGGGACGAAUGAUCAAGAGUUCAACCGUUGCCCUGGGUUACUGUCACUGACUUUCAUGUUUGCCGUCCCCGAUUUAACGGAUUUACCGGAAGGCGGGUUGGAUGUCCCGUAUCCACGUCCCGUAAUAGGGAUUCAAACAAAGCAUUUAAAUGAAGAUUAAUGGAUAAUUAACAGAGGUGGAUGAAGUAAGGGUAGAUGGACCAGGAAAAAAAUAAACUUAUUCAACUAACCUAUAAACAAGCAUCAUAGUAAGAAAAGAAAAGCAUGCUCUAUGCUCAUUCUAAUAGCACAUACUUUGGUUUCCUCUUUUCAACAUCCGCAAGUACUUAUUAAACAUUUUAUCAUCAUACAGACAAGAACAUAUUAAACAUUUAGUAUCAAGCAGACAAGUACAUACAAAACAUUCUGGUAUCAGGCAGGCAAGUACAUAUGUGGUACCAUUCAAUAGAGGUACAGUACGGAAGUCCCCAAGUCAGGAAAUCCUAUAAAGACCCCUGCCAUGGUGGUAUGGCUGAUCAGUUCAUUGUCAUAUCCAUUAGAAGGCAAACCUGUAGAUGCCCAACAUCUGUCUGGUCCUUCAAGUAAUGUUUAAAAACAAUGUAAAAAGACGGAACUGUUGGGAGGAGCGUACAACUCAGAAAUUCACACCAACUUUGGGUGCCCCCCAUGUUGUUUUUGUUGUGUGGUUGGGACAUUUCAAACUGCACAUCCAAAACACUUUUGCAAUAUCGAAAAACAAUCAUUAUUUUUCAACUAAAUAGAAAACACAACUGCAAAAGAUGAAUGAUGUAUUGAUUCCACCUGCCCGCUUAAACAGCAUUCCGCAGUUUGUGUGGCGCAAGUGAAGGUAAAGUUUCAAAGAUUACUUUUAUUAGAAUUAGAUUUAGGCUAUUCUAUACUGUAUAAGUAUAUAAAUAUACAAAUAGUAAAAAGUAAAUAAUAAUAUUGAGGUUUUUCCUUUCAGGUUUUUCGUUAAUGCACUGAAUUUGCAAAGCGGGUAGAUAUGCAUGUUAGUUUGACACAACUCGGCCACCAUAAUUUGAGCCCUGAACAACCGCAAAGAGUGGUCAUGCUAAAAAGCCUUGUAUGGGUAUAGCAACAUUAAAGAUAAAAUACUGGUGAAAAAAAUGAAUGGUUUUGUUAUAAUCUAGGAUACAGAGCAGAUAAAAGAAUGUCGACUCAUAAGGAUAAUUGCAAGAAAGAUAUAAAUCAUAUUGAUUCCAGUCUAGUUAUAGACACUACUUAGACAUACCAAACACAUAUACAUUGGCAGUAUUACUAUAAUAUUGCCCACAAACACAUAAACAUCAUGUCUGAUUACGCUAUAAGCGCAAACACUUCUUUGGCCACAAUUGUGAUUAUUCAGUUGAAACAAACAUUGAAGUGGCAAUCUCAAAGAUCUUUCUUUAAGAUAAAUGUCAGUUAAGUCAUUAUCUAUCGCCGAGUGAUAGAAACACAAUGGG
Long non-coding RNA from Gadus chalcogrammus (walleye pollock), 2734 nucleotides. RefSeq lists it as uncharacterized. Lineage: Eukaryota; Metazoa; Chordata; Actinopteri; Gadiformes; Gadidae. The record is from RefSeq and is a predicted model, not a curated record. The transcript has 4 exons.